AUGCUCACUCCGGCAGUACAUAUACUAAAAUUGGAAUGAUACAGAGAAGACUAGCAUAGCCCCUGUGCAAGGAUGACAUGCAAAUUUGUAAAUUAUAGUCUCCAUUA
This 107-nucleotide small nuclear RNA is filed under the name Carlito syrichta (Philippine tarsier). Lineage: Eukaryota; Metazoa; Chordata; Mammalia; Primates; Tarsiidae. The record is from RNAcentral.